RNAcentral lists this long non-coding RNA (1237 nucleotides) under Mytilus galloprovincialis (Mediterranean mussel). The record is from RNAcentral. Lineage: Eukaryota; Metazoa; Mollusca; Bivalvia; Mytilida; Mytilidae.
GCCCAUUAUUCUCUAUUUUUUAUAUUGUAGAAGCCCACUAUUCUCUAUUCUUAAAUUUUUGGCCUAUCCUUUUCUUUUCUAUUCUUUAAUUUUUUUAGCACAUUAUUCUCUAUUCUGUAAACUCCAUCCACACCCUCAUAUAUAGAAGAUACCAUUCUAGUUAUCUACGUCUUUUUUUAUUUCACUAAAUUAUUAUGAUUGUAUCUCUUAAUGUUAAUUUUUUUUAUUUCUUUUUUAAAAGUAGUGUCUUUUUCUAACCUAGAUUUGUAUACAUGUUUAAUUUUGCUCCAGAUUUUUUUUCAUUUUCAAUGCAGUUUCGUGUUCCCCUCUAAGUGGGCAAUUUUUCUUCAUAAUCCAAAACUGUGUACUUAUAUUUCAAGAUAACACGACACCGAAUGGCAUAUCUCCCGAUUUCUAAAAUUUUUGGCACACUUGUACUUUGAAUCGAGUUACAUCGGAAUAUGUAAUAAAAAAAAUGGGGGGUCACCACUUCUGUUUUUUCGUAAAUUUGAUUAGAAAACGUCAAUUUUGACGACAAAUUUACACAGGGAAAAUGCUUUGUUUUAACUUUUCUUUUUUUCAAAUUUUUUUUCAAUAGAUGGCUUUGUUCUUAUAUACGGAGAAAACUAAAAACUAACAUAAUAUCCCGGAUUAUGCCUCUAAGGUGCAUGCUUUUUGUAUUAGUUGUUAUUAGCUUUCAACUAGCUGUCAGUAACUGCGAGUACUCUGUACUUAAAGUCUUUUGGUUGUUGGGAUGUAUAAGUACCCUUCCACGUCCACUCUCUUUUUGUAAGAUGUAUUCUAUUUGCAUCCAUCUGAUGAGUUAAGCCUUUUUUAACUGAUUUCUACAGUUAAUUCUCAUGUUGUACUGUUACACCACUGUCCCAAGUUAAACUGGUCCGUCAUUCCAUCUUAAGCUUCGCACCGUUAGUGUAACGAUAAGGGAACACAACAGGGGUCCAGUUUAUGUCCCAGGUUAGGGGAAAGGAGGGUUGGCGCCUUUAAACGAGUUUAACCUGACCACAUUCUGUAUGUUCCUGUCCCGAGUCAAGUAGUCUGUAAUUUAGUUUGUUGCUAUGUAACAUAUUUGUUUUUCGUUCAUUAUUUUGUACAUAAAUUAGGUUUUCUCGUUUGAAUUGUUUUACAUAUGUCAUUUCGGGGCCUUUUAUAGCUGACUAUGCGGUAUGACUUUGCUCAUUGUUGAAGGCAGUACAGUGACCUAUAUAUGUAAAUUUCA